UGGGGAAUAUUGGACAAUGGGCGCAAGCCUGAUCCAGCCAUGCCGCGUGAGUGAUGAAGGCCUUAGGGUUGUAAAGCUCUUUUAUCCGGUACGAUAAUGACGGUACCGGAGGAAUAAGCCCCGGCUAACUUCGUGCCAGCAGCCGCGUUAAUACGAAGGGGGCUAGCGUUGCUCGGAAUCACUGGGCGUAAAGGGCGCGUAGGCGGCGUUUUAAGUCGGGUGUCAAAGCCUUUGGCUCAACCACAGAAUGACCUUCGAUACUGGGACGCUUGAGUAUGGUAGAGGUUGGUGGAAAUGCGAGUGUAGAGGUGAAAUUCGUAGAUAUUCACAAGAACACCGGUGGCGAAGGCGGCCAACUGGAACAUUACUGACGCUGGGGCGCGAAAGCGUGGGGAGCAAACA
This 402-nucleotide ribosomal RNA is filed under the name uncultured bacterium. Its description in RNAcentral is "bacterial SSU rRNA". It matches the Rfam family "Bacterial small subunit ribosomal RNA", at positions 355 to 774 of the family's 1533-position model. The record is from RNAcentral.